UUCCAGGGCGCAGCGCACGGAUGGCGGGGCUGGAGCGAGCAGGGGCAGCCACCAGGGAGGAAACGCAACGGCUCAUACAGCAAUAAGAGAAGCAGCAGGCCGAGGGGACCAGCCGGAAAAGCCCCGCGCCUGGUGCAGCUGUGGCCCUGGAAGGGGAAGCCUGCCGAUGGCAGCACGGCGCGGGGACAGUCUCGCGCCUGACAGAGCGGCUCAGGGAGCAGCGGCAGCCGCCAGCAAGCAUUGCAGGCGCGUGUAGGUCUAGAUGCGCCACAGACGCGACAAGGACCUGGGAAGGGAGCGCGGAGGAACAGCCGGUCCACCUGAUCACGUGACUGCAACUAUUCACACUCCACUCCGAGCAGCUCUGUCCUGGGAGAAGCGGGGUAUUCACAGCUUUGUCUUAGACGACAAAGCAGGACUGCAGGGUCGUGAGUGCCUUACUUGGAGCGCAGGUUCGCUUCCCGGCUGAGGAACCACACCACCUGUCUGUCCAUGCCAUGCUGUGGUGGCAGCUCACACAGAAGAACUAGAAGGACUGACAACUAGGACAUACAACCAUGCCCUGGGGCUCUGGGGAGAAGAAAAGAAAACGCUUCUUAAAAGAAGAGAGGAAUCCAGACAGCUGAAGCAGGGCUUGUGUGAGACAGACGGGGAGAUUUAGAGGGAAGAGCUGGUCUGCUUGGUUCGACUCCCUCUCUGCAAGCAAAGAUUCUCUCCCCAGGACUGAAAGCAGAGACAAUGUGGCCACAGAGGAGAAUGCCCUUCUUCUUGGAGACGCGUGCCAAGGUGUUUAGGGAUGGAGUGUCAUGAAGUCUGCAAUCUAUUGAUAAACGGUUCAAAAAAACAGCAACAGCCAAACCCCCAUAAAUAGAAAGAUACAGAAAAUGUCAAAAAAUGUUAAAGGGUGUGAGGAAACUCACUGUACACCUCUUUUAACUUUCCUUUAGAUUUGAAAAUUUUUAAAAUAAAGUUGGGAGGAAAACAGGCACAA
This is a non-coding RNA of Equus caballus (horse), 991 nucleotides long. NCBI's taxonomy places the organism in Eukaryota, Metazoa, Chordata, Mammalia, Perissodactyla, Equidae. The record is from RefSeq and is a predicted model, not a curated record.